GUCUACGGCCAUACCACGCUGAAUGAGCCCAAUCUCGUCUGAUCUCGGAAGUUAAGCAGGGUCAGGGCUGGUUAGUACUUGGAUGGGAGAC
This 91-nucleotide ribosomal RNA is filed under the name Ailuropoda melanoleuca (giant panda). Lineage: Eukaryota; Metazoa; Chordata; Mammalia; Carnivora; Ursidae. The record is from RNAcentral.